UAUAAUCCCAGCUACUCAGGAGGCUGAGACGGAAUCCUCGAACCCCAGUGGGGCAGAGGUUGCAGUGAGCUAAGAUUGCGCUACUUCACUCCAGUCUGGGUGAAAGAGUGAAACUCACGUCUCAAACAAAGGUCGGGGGACAAAAACGUAUGUCAGAGACCCCCCACCCCACCCCAGGAAUCCUCAAACCAUAUUUGGGAGUUGGGAUAGAGGAUUUGGGAAAUAAAUCAAUGUGAUGGUUAAUUUUAGGUGUCGACUGGGUUAAGGAAUACUAGACAACUGUUGGAGCAUUAUUUCUGGAUGUAUCUCUGAGGGUGUUUUCAGGGGAGACUGGUAUGCGAGUCAGUGGACUGAGUGGAAAAGAUCUGCCAUCAAUAUCUUUGGGUACCUUCCAAUCAGCUGUGGGCCCAACAGAGCAAAAGGCAGAGGAAAGCAGGGGACCUCUGGCCAGCAACACCCCACCCAAGCCUUGCUUGGCUACACUGGCAUGCCCCAGCUCACCUGUGUUACAGCGUGUACUCACGUUCAGCAGUUCCUGAGCUCUUGUGCUAUGCCCAAGAAGAAUGAGGAUACACUAGACAUUGAAGGGUAAGGAGGGAUGAGAAGAAUUUUAUCAAGCAACUGAACAGCGCUCAGCAGAGAGGGGAUGCUGGCACCCCUACCCAAAGGCGGGAAAGUUCCCCCUGUGUGGCUGGGUCUAGGCCUGUUUUAUGGACUCAUAAUGGGAAGUGUGUGCUGAUUGGUUUGUGAGUAUGCAAAAAAGGUUAAAGUGAAGACACCACUCAAAGGUGGCCACAACGGUGUAAAAAACCAAUUAGGAAAGGGUGAGUAUAUGGAAAGUAGUUGAAGGGUGGGGACCAAUCAGAGGAAAGUGCACCAAACAUGAAGACAAGUUCUCAACAAGUUCUCAAUCUGGGCUGAGGAUUUACCUUGUAGUUUGGCUUUCAGGCUUUAAACUCUCUUCAGCUUGGAGGUGGGGUUUCACCAGGCACCCAUUGCUACCUGCCUUUGCAUCUGACUGCCUCCUGUCUGCUAUCACUAGGUCCCAAGGUUUGUCGCAAGGACCCCUUACAAAGAUAUCCCCCACAGUCUACCCAAAGGUUAACCUCAGAACAUAUUUCAUUGUCAGAGUGAGAAACAAAUACACGUGAAAAUACAGUAUGGCACAAAUAAGGAGCAAGAGGUGAAGAAAGGCUCAGUCACACCCAAAAUAAUUUUGUGAAAAAUAUAAAAUAUGCAGUUACUGACAGCACUAACUCUGGAUACCAGAAAAUUCUACAAUUCAGUAAUGGAUCUGAGACCUGAAUUUUGGAGGUACUAAAAUAGAUGCAGUAGAUCUAGUUUUCAUUCUUUUCAUACUUUCAUUUGGAUCUGUGGUAAAAGAUGAUAAUAUAAAAAAAAGAAGGAUGAUAAUAUCUUCUAUGUAACAAUUACAUGCAAGGGGAUGUCUGCAAACUGCCACAGUAUCAUUUUAAUUAAUACCUAUCUUCUUAAAAUCAUUUCAUUUUUCCACCCAGUUCUCCUGAUAUUUCUGUUACGAUAUAAAAGACAGCUGAAUGUGAAGAAACACUGAUUUUACACAUAACACACACAUUAAUGAUUCAAAUAGGUAAACACAGAGAGCUGCACACACUUUGAGAGGUAGGGCUGAAAUUUUUCAUCAAUGUGUACAAUUCAAUAUAGUUUCAGUUUUCAUUCUAACCUUCCCCAGUGGCUUCUGCCCAGCAACUGAUGAGAAAUGGUAACUCUGAGCCAAUCAAAACACAAAUUCCUACAAAGAGGAUUAUCUUACUGUUUCUCAGAUCGAGUGUACAGCACAUGCUUUCUUUUCCUUUAUUCUGGAUCAGAGAAUCUUAACUAAAGCAGAAAUUAUUGUGUUAAAUUAAACUAAAUUUGGUAUAAGAUAUACCUACAUUUAGCCUGAGGGAUGGCUCCUUACUUGAGCCCUUAAAUAAUGAACUGCAACCUAACUUAGUAUGUAAACUAACUGAAAGCUUAAGGCACAGGAGUAUACUUUUGUAACAAAUAGCUGAGUCUCAGCCAAUCCCAGUAGUCGAACUUCAGUCGGCUCCAGUCAACCCUGCAGCCAGUGAUCAGACUAUGUUCAAAUAAGGCCAACUCUGAGCUGUAACCAAUUAAGCUGUUUCCGUUUGUCACUUCCCUUGUGGAAUGGAGCUCACUCAACCUCUCUGAUGGCUUCCUGAUCAUUCUGAUGGUUUGCAAAUUGUUCUUUGUUCAAAUUAAACUGCUAAAUUUAA
Molecule: non-coding RNA, 2258 nt
Organism: Chlorocebus sabaeus (green monkey)
Lineage: Eukaryota; Metazoa; Chordata; Mammalia; Primates; Cercopithecidae
Source: RefSeq, a predicted model, not a curated record